RNAcentral lists this ribosomal RNA (468 nucleotides) under uncultured bacterium. RNAcentral describes it as "partial 16S ribosomal RNA". It matches the Rfam family "Bacterial small subunit ribosomal RNA", at positions 28 to 507 of the family's 1533-position model. The record is from RNAcentral.
GACGAACGCUGGCGGCGUGCUUAACACAUGCAAGUCGAACGGAAAGGCCCUGCUUUUGUGGGGUGCUCGAGUUGCGAACGGGUGAGUAACACGUGAGUAACCUGCCCUUGACUUUGGGAUAACUUCAGGAAACUGGGGCUAAUACCGGAUAGGAGCUCCUGCUGCAUGGUGGGGGUUGGAAAGUUUCGGCGGUUGGUGAUGGACUCGCGGCGUAUCAGCUUGUUGGUGGGGUAGUGGCUUACCAAGGCUUUGACGGGUAGCCGGCCUGAGAGGGUGACCGGCCACACUGGAACUGAGAUACGGCACAGACUACUACGGGAGGCAGCAGUGGGGUAUAUUGCACAAUGGGCGGAACCCUGAUGCAGCCCCGCCGCGUGGGGGAUGACGGCAUUCGGGUUGUAAACCGCAUUCGCCUGUGACGAAGCGUGAAUGACGGUAAUGGGUAAAGAAGCACCGGCUAACUCCGUG